CAUUAUUGAUGAGGCGCAUUAAUCAUGAGUAGCCAUAUCGUUUUUGUCUGCAAGCAAGAUAUGUCGAAAGGGUGAGAUGCCGAAAUAAACAGAAUUUGCAGGGACUGUUUGUUGGAUUCUAUGGUUAAGAGCUGAGAAUCUGUCAUUAUUUGCGGAUAAUGGAGUGCAUCACUUGUA
RNAcentral lists this non-coding RNA (177 nucleotides) under Staphylococcus chromogenes. Its description in RNAcentral is "Lysine sequence". It matches the Rfam family "Lysine riboswitch aptamer". From Rfam's summary of the family: Riboswitches are metabolite binding domains within certain messenger RNAs that serve as precision sensors for their corresponding targets. Allosteric rearrangement of mRNA structure is mediated by ligand binding, and this results in modulation of gene expression. Lineage: Bacteria; Bacillati; Bacillota; Bacilli; Caryophanales; Staphylococcaceae. The record is from RNAcentral.